This 429-nucleotide ribosomal RNA is filed under the name uncultured bacterium. RNAcentral describes it as "bacterial SSU rRNA". It matches the Rfam family "Bacterial small subunit ribosomal RNA", at positions 355 to 775 of the family's 1533-position model. The record is from RNAcentral.
UGAGGAAUCUUGCGCAAUGGGGGAAACCCUGACGCGGCAACGCCGCGUGAGUGAGGAAGGUCUUCGGGUCGUAAAGCUCUGUCAGGCGGGAAGAAAUGCAUGGAGGUGAACAGCCGCCAUGCUUGACGGUACCGCCAGAGGAAGCACCGGCUAACUCCGUGCCAGCAGCCACGGUAAUACGGGGGGUGCAAGCGUUGUUCGGAAUCAUUGGGCAUAAAGAGCGUGUAGGCGGCUUGGUAAGUCAGAUGUGAAAGCCCUGGGCUCAACCCGGGAAGUGCAUUUGAAACUGCCAGGCUCGAGUAGGGGAGAGGGAAGUGGAAUUCCUGGUGUAGAGGUGAAAUUCGUAGAUAUCAGGAGGAACACCGGUGGCGAAGGCGACUUCCUGGCCCUAUACUGACGCUGAGACGCGAGAGCGUGGGUAGCAAACAG